CACGUAGGGUGCGAGCGUUGUCCGGAAUUAUUGGGCGUAAAGAGCUCGUAGGCGGUUUGUCGCGUCUGCUGUGAAAACUGGGGGCUCAACCCCCAGCCUGCAGUGGAUACUGCACGGCUAGAGUACGGAAGAGGCGAGUGGAAUUCCUGGUGUAGCGGUGGAAUGCGCAGAUAUCAGGAGGAACACCAAUAGCGAAGGCAGCUCGCUGGGACGUUACUGACACUGAGGCGCGAAAGCGUGGGGAGCGAACAGG
This 253-nucleotide ribosomal RNA is filed under the name uncultured bacterium. RNAcentral describes it as "partial 16S ribosomal RNA". It matches the Rfam family "Bacterial small subunit ribosomal RNA", at positions 524 to 776 of the family's 1533-position model. The record is from RNAcentral.